CCAAUAGCGUAUAUUAAGGUUGUUGCAGUUAAAGAGCUCGUAGUUGAAUUUCGGGGUUAGUAGGUUGGUCAUGCCUCUGGUAUGUACUGGUCUCACUGAUUCCUCCUUCCUGAUGAGCCGUAAUGCCAUUAAUUUGGUGUUGCGGGGAAUUUGGACUGUUACUUUGAAGAAAUUAGCGUGUUUAAAGCAAGCUAACGCUUGAAUACAUUAGCAUGGAAUAAUGAACUAGGACGUUCGAUCCUAUUUUGUUGGUUUCUAGGAUUGACGUAAUGAUUAAUAGGGAUAGUUGGGGGCAUUAGUAUUCAAUUGUCAGAGGUGAAAUUCUUGGAUUUAUUGAAGACUAACUACUGCGAAAGCAUUUGCCAAGGAUGUUUUCAUUAAUCAAGAACGAAAGUUAGGGGAUCGAAGACGAUCAGAUACCGUCGUAGUCUUAACCAUAAACUAUGCCGACUAGGGAUCGGAUGAUGUUAAUUUUUUAAUGACUCAUUCGGCGUCUUACG
This 500-nucleotide ribosomal RNA is filed under the name uncultured Glomeromycotina. Its description in RNAcentral is "partial small subunit ribosomal RNA". It matches the Rfam family "Eukaryotic small subunit ribosomal RNA", at positions 591 to 1092 of the family's 1831-position model. Lineage: Eukaryota; Fungi; Glomeromycota. The record is from RNAcentral.